RNAcentral lists this ribosomal RNA (376 nucleotides) under uncultured bacterium. RNAcentral describes it as "bacterial SSU rRNA". It matches the Rfam family "Bacterial small subunit ribosomal RNA", at positions 521 to 896 of the family's 1533-position model. The record is from RNAcentral.
UAAUACGAAGGGGGCGAGCGUUGUUCGGAUUUACUGGGCGUAAAGGGCGCGCAGGCGGUCAUUUUUGUCGAGUGUGAAAGCCCCGGGCUUAACCUGGGAACUGCGCUCGAAACGGGAUGACUAGAGAUCGGGAGAGGAGAGUGGAAUUCCCAGUGUAGAGGUGAAAUUCGUAGAUAUUGGGAAGAACACCGGUGGCGAAGGCGGCUCUCUGGACCGAUACUGACGCUGAGGCGCGAAAGCGUGGGGAGCAAACAGGAUUAGAUACCCUGGUAGUCCACGCUGUAAACGAUGUGUGCUAGACGUUGGGGAGCCUAGCUCUUCGGUGUCGCAGCUAACGCGGUAAGCACACCGCCUGGGGAGUACGGCCGCAAGGUUA